RNAcentral lists this small RNA (28 nucleotides) under Bombyx mori (domestic silkworm). RNAcentral describes it as "piRNA piR-bmo-2015473". The record is from RNAcentral. Lineage: Eukaryota; Metazoa; Arthropoda; Insecta; Lepidoptera; Bombycidae.
UGCUCACGAUGUUUGCCGGUUACUAUAC